This 115-nucleotide ribosomal RNA is filed under the name Diaphorina citri (Asian citrus psyllid). Lineage: Eukaryota; Metazoa; Arthropoda; Insecta; Hemiptera; Psyllidae. The record is from RNAcentral.
GCCAGCGACGAUAGCACGUUGAAUACAUCAGUUCCCUAUGGAUCACUGAAGUCAAGUAACGUCGCGCGUGGCUAGUAUCCGGAUGGGUGAUCAUCUGGGCAAUUGCGUGCUGGUU